CACGUAGUUAGCCGUGGCUUUCUGGUUAGGUACCGUCUCUACUAUGUAUAGUUACUACAUAAUCAUUCUUCCCUAACAACAGAGCCUUACGAACCGAAAUCCUUCUUCACUCACGCGGCGUUGCUCCGUCAGGCUUUCGCCCAUUGCGGAAGAUUCCCUACUGCUGCCUCCCGUAGGAGUCUGGGCCGUGUCUCAGUCCCAGUGUGGCCGAUCACCCUCUCAGGUCGGCUAUGCAUCGUCGCCUUGGUAGGCCUUUACCCCACCAACUAGCUAAUGCACCGCAAAGCCAUCUCAUAGUGUUAGCAAAACCAACUUUCAAACAUCAACCAUGCAGUUAAUGCUGUUAUCCGGUAUUAGCUAUCGUUUCCAAUAGUUGUCCCAGUCUAUGAGGCAGGUUCUUUACGUGUUACUCACCCGUUCGCCGCUAAGUUUUCUAGUGCAAGCACCAGAAAACUUCGCUCGACUUGCAUGUAUUAGGCACGCCGCCAGCGUUCGU
This 496-nucleotide ribosomal RNA is filed under the name uncultured Gemella sp. Its description in RNAcentral is "partial 16S ribosomal RNA". The record is from RNAcentral. Lineage: Bacteria; Bacillati; Bacillota; Bacilli; Caryophanales; Gemellaceae.